GAUCCAUACCAACCUGAACACACCCAAUCUCGUCUGAUCUUGGAAGCUAAGCAGGGUCGGGCCUGGUUAGUACUUGGAUAGGAGAACACUCAAUAUCC
RNAcentral lists this ribosomal RNA (98 nucleotides) under Cavia porcellus (domestic guinea pig). The record is from RNAcentral. Lineage: Eukaryota; Metazoa; Chordata; Mammalia; Rodentia; Caviidae.